GUGGGGAAUAUUGGACAAUGGGGGGAACCCUGAUCCAGCCAUGCCGCGUGUGUGAAGAAGGCCUUUUGGUUGAAAAGCACUUUAAGCGAGGAGGAGGCUACCGAGAUUAAUACUCUUGGAUAGUGGACGUUACUCGCAGAAUAAGCACCGGCUAACUCUGUGCCAGCAGCCGCGGUAAUACAGAGGGUGCAAGCGUUAAUCGGAUUUACUGGGCGUAAAGCGCGCGUAGGUGGCCAAUUAAGUCAAAUGUGAAAUCCCCGAGCUUAACUUGGGAAUUGCAUUCGAUACUGGUUGGCUAGAGUAUGGGAGAGGAUGGUAGAAUUCCAGGUGUAGCGGUGAAAUGCGUAGAGAUCUGGAGGAAUACCGAUGGCGAAGGCAGCCAUCUGGCCUAAUACUGACACUGAGGUGCGAAAGCAUGGGGAGCAAACAGGAUUAGAUACCCUGUAGUCC
RNAcentral lists this ribosomal RNA (450 nucleotides) under uncultured bacterium. RNAcentral describes it as "partial 16S ribosomal RNA". It matches the Rfam family "Bacterial small subunit ribosomal RNA", at positions 354 to 796 of the family's 1533-position model. The record is from RNAcentral.